RNAcentral lists this transfer RNA (73 nucleotides) under Pteropus alecto (black flying fox). It matches the Rfam family "tRNA". Rfam says of the family: Transfer RNA (tRNA) molecules are approximately 80 nucleotides in length. Their secondary structure includes four short double-helical elements and three loops (D, anti-codon, and T loops). Lineage: Eukaryota; Metazoa; Chordata; Mammalia; Chiroptera; Pteropodidae. The record is from Rfam by way of RNAcentral.
GGUUCCAUAGUGUAGCAGUUAGCAUGUCUGCUUUACACACAGAAGGUCUUGGGUUCACGUCCCAGUGGAGCCA